UUUCAUGCCUAAAACAAUCGCCGGCAUGGGAAAUGAGACCACCAUAACAUCUUAGACAAUCAAGAUUUACUACCCAUGGGUAUGGAGAUGAGCCAAGCAUCCAUUGAAGAACAUGUCCAUUUGGUGGACAGUGAACAAAAAUGAGAUCCAUUACUAACAAGGGCUAUUGAAUUGCCCAACAGCAUGGUUUGCCCCACCUGCUUUUCCUUAGUAAUCUUCAUAACAAAUUAAAGCCAGGGGGAGUGUUCUUCUGGUGAAACCACAUUUCAAGUGUUUUCUGUAACCUAUGGACAAAGAUUACUCCUGAACUGUCUUGUCAGGCAUUUUGAUUCUCCAAGCUAUUCCCUCCUUCAUGUACCCUUUGCCUGCCUGCAGAAGUCCCUUUGGUUUAAAUUAAUAUGUGGAAGACUUGUUAUUUUCCUAUUUAAGUGCACAUGUGAGUCCCAGUGAGUUUUACCCUAUCAGAUUCCCUUUCUAUGGUGUUUAGACAAAAGACAACAGUUUAUGUGCCUCUUAAUACACAAAUAAUUCUAGACCUGUCAGCCCUAAACAGUCUCUGGAUUUUCUUUAUCUCUGAGGCUUGCCACUCUGUUGUUUCAUUGUCCUGUUUUAAGCAUGACUGGGUAUUUUUCUCUCAUUCUUCGUAUGUGCUUUUCACGGACUUCUGUUGCUUCUGGUAGAAAGUUUUAUUGGUUUUGAAAUCUGUGCUGCAUAUAUUCUUGGUAGCCUAACCUUCCUCCUUUCUAGUAGUAUCCAAUUGGGUCCCUGUGCUUGGAGAAUUCUAGACUUAACUCCAGCCCCCACAGGUGAGUGUUAAUUGGUGUGGAUCAAUCAUAUUGGUCUUUUCUCUUCAUCCAGUGAUUAGUGUAGGCUUGGACAUGUGACAUCAUCUGGCCAAUGAGAUGUCAGAGACAUCUGAAGAUAAUGGAGAUUGA
This is a long non-coding RNA of Myotis davidii, 935 nucleotides long. RefSeq lists it as uncharacterized. Lineage: Eukaryota; Metazoa; Chordata; Mammalia; Chiroptera; Vespertilionidae. The record is from RefSeq and is a predicted model, not a curated record. The transcript has 2 exons.